GGUAAAGCCACAUUUAGAGGCUACGUUAACAAUAAGAAGAACCUUCCCACUAUAAGUACUCAGACUCACAUCAUUCCCGUUUAUAUCCUUGACAGUGACAUCAUAGAUGGACUUGGGCAGCUCCUCCCCCAUUUCUUGCUGGUUUGUGAAAAAGAAGAUCAACAGAGCAAGAGCUAGAAACAGAGCAGCUGAAGCACAGCCUUGGAUCCUUUGCAUACAAUGCAGGAGAAGGG
This 233-nucleotide unclassified non-coding RNA is filed under the name Hevea brasiliensis (rubber tree). Lineage: Eukaryota; Viridiplantae; Streptophyta; Magnoliopsida; Malpighiales; Euphorbiaceae. The record is from RNAcentral.